GGGUUAUUAGCUCAGUCGGUAGAGCACUUGACUCUUAAUCAAGGUGUCACUGGUUCGAUCCCAGUAUAACCCACCA
This is a transfer RNA of 76 nucleotides. It matches the Rfam family "tRNA". Rfam says of the family: Transfer RNA (tRNA) molecules are approximately 80 nucleotides in length. Their secondary structure includes four short double-helical elements and three loops (D, anti-codon, and T loops).